This 393-nucleotide ribosomal RNA is filed under the name uncultured bacterium. RNAcentral's name for it is "partial 16S ribosomal RNA". It matches the Rfam family "Bacterial small subunit ribosomal RNA", at positions 523 to 918 of the family's 1533-position model. The record is from RNAcentral.
ACACGUAGGGGGCGAGCGUUGUUCGGAAUCAUUGGGCGUAAAGGGCGUGCAGGCGGUCGUGCAAGUCCGGCGUGAAAGACCCCGGCCCAACCGGGGGGACGCGCUGGAAACUGCAGGGCUUGAGUACAGGAGGGGAUGCCGGAAUUCCAGGUGUAGGGGUGAAAUCUGUAGAUAUCUGGAAGAACACCGAUGGCGAAGGCAGGCAUCUGGCCGGAGACUGACGCUGAGGCGCGAAGGCGCGGGGAGCGAACAGGUUUAGAUACCCUGGUAGUCCGCGCAGUAAACGAUGCGCACCAGGUGUCGGGCGGCAGCGCCCGGUACCGGAGCUAACGCGAUGAGUGCGCCGCCUGGGGAGUAUGCCCGCAAGGGUGAAACUCAAAUGAAUUGGCGGGG